This is a long non-coding RNA of Brachypodium distachyon (stiff brome), 1411 nucleotides long. RefSeq lists it as uncharacterized. The record is from RefSeq and is a predicted model, not a curated record. The transcript has 5 exons. NCBI's taxonomy places the organism in Eukaryota, Viridiplantae, Streptophyta, Magnoliopsida, Poales, Poaceae.
AAUAUGGGUUUCUUCAUAAACAAAUAAAUAAUUCAUGCACUGGGGAUGGGUGUGAGAUUGUGUGAUGGAUAUGUGGUUGGAAGUUUGGUGAAGCACAAGACAAAGGCAAUGAAAGCGUGUCUCCUCUCUUUGCGGGCGUACGUGCGACCUGCAUUAGCAAGAAGUAGCACCAGCACUCUGUUCUGCUGCAUUUUGUGUGGUGGAGCUGAAAAGAAGAUCGAGCAUACAAAAAAAAGAAAGAAAAUCGAUUAUUUUUUUACCAGAAAACUUCCAGCACUUCAAGUUUAGCUUCGUCUUAUAUAUAUGUGCGGUGCAUUCAUUCAUUCGUGCUUCUGCCUUGACCAAAAACAAGCAUAUCAUAUUAGGGAAACAUUCAUGAAAAACUUGUUAAAAAUACUAUUACUUGUCCUGAAAGUGUACCUGUUGCAGUUUUUAGAGAGUUUGACCAAAACUAGUAGGAAAUAUGUCAGUCAGUCUGUUAUGAUUCUGUGCACAUAUAUAGGGGUCACCAUGCAUUCUAUUUACUAAUUCCUAUUGCAUUCAUGAAGUAGUCCAUCGAUGAAUGGAGCCAGUCUCUCACGUACGUAUUUUACUGAUUUACUUGCCAAUGCCUCCCUGAAAGUCUGACUGACCAUUUUCUGUGGCCAGGGAAAGCCAACGGAAGAAGAGAAAGCUAUAUAUGCCCGCCUCUUGGUGGAUCAAGCUUGGUUUGGUCAAAAGGAGGCAUUGCUGGAUCAGAGGGAAAGACAAGCAGACAUGAUUUCUAGCGUUUGGUUGAUCAGCACACACUGGAUGGAGCGUGUUUGCUUAAUCAGCACACGCUGGAUGGACAGUCAAUCAAGUUCAGAGUCAAGUUCAGAGGGAGUUGAGCAUAUAAGCAUCUGGUUCUUGACUUUUUCUCUUGAUGAUAGGCCAUAUAGACGAGAUCAGAUGUUGGUUCAGAAGCUACAUGCAUGAUGCAUGCGUGGACUUGAUUUGAUUGAGAGGAACAGGAACAGGAACAGGGAACUGAAUGCAUGCUGCAUUAUUGAUCCAUGCUGAUUGGAGGAGAUCCGUUCGAUCUGAUAGAGUGCUGCUGCUGCAGGUACUUCAGCUGGGAGGAAGAGCUACUCACUCAUGCAUGUGACCCAAAUGACACCGGCUGUUUCACUGGGGAGGAAUUGAAGCAAUCUUGUACAGUAGCAGCUAACACUGACGUCAAUUUGCGGCAGAUUGUCUUAAAACACCAAAGCUUUCUGUCACACAUGCAUGCAUCUCACUUCUUGUGUAGAUAGCUUUAGCUAGCUUGUUUCUGUUCAGGAGCCACACAGCACAACUGCUCCUUCAAUUUGAUAUUAAGUGACUUUUUAUUACAUGUAACUAAAUGUAUUUUAGUAUAGAGACAAUUUUGAAUCACUUGGUAGGGAGGAAG